Long non-coding RNA from Malaclemys terrapin pileata, 264 nucleotides. RefSeq lists it as uncharacterized. NCBI's taxonomy places the organism in Eukaryota, Metazoa, Chordata, Testudines, Emydidae. The record is from RefSeq and is a predicted model, not a curated record. The transcript has 3 exons.
CUCCCUCCCUCCUCGCCCCCCGCCGCCUCAGCCGUUCCAGAAGUUCACGAAGAAGCUGCAGAGCGAGUGCCACUGCUCCGCACAAACCGGGACAUCAUGAACAACAGUGCUACAAGCCUCCUAUAUAUUAUCCCAGUGAUGUACCUCGACCCUUACCAGGAGAGAGAUCGUUUCUUCAGAUGAGAAGACCGACACCUAUCUCCUGGGAUGUACACUACCGAGAGUAAAGGACAAAAAAAAAAUUCUAAACUACAAUUGUGAAAG